This 106-nucleotide non-coding RNA is filed under the name Levilactobacillus zymae. Its description in RNAcentral is "Lactobacillus zymae TPP sequence". It matches the Rfam family "TPP riboswitch aptamer (THI element)". Rfam says of the family: Vitamin B(1) in its active form thiamin pyrophosphate (TPP) is an essential coenzyme that is synthesised by coupling of pyrimidine and thiazole moieties in bacteria. The previously detected thiamin-regulatory element, thi box was extended, resulting in a new, highly conserved RNA secondary structure, the THI element, which is widely distributed in eubacteria and also occurs in some archaea. The record is from RNAcentral. Lineage: Bacteria; Bacillati; Bacillota; Bacilli; Lactobacillales; Lactobacillaceae.
AACUAACACUAGGAGUGUCCGUGUACGGGCUGAGAUGUGACCUUGUCGCAAUUCCUUUGAACCUGUCAAGUCCAUGCUUGCGAAGGGAACGUGUUUUGACUGGCGA